RNAcentral lists this ribosomal RNA (492 nucleotides) under uncultured bacterium. RNAcentral describes it as "partial 16S ribosomal RNA". It matches the Rfam family "Bacterial small subunit ribosomal RNA", at positions 28 to 507 of the family's 1533-position model. The record is from RNAcentral.
GAUGAACGCUAGCUACAGGCUUAACACAUGCAAGUCGAGGGGAAACGACAUCGAAAGCUUGCUUUUGAUGGGCGUCGACCGGCGCACGGGUGAGUAACGCGUAUCCAACCUGCCCAUCACUUGGGAAUAACCUUGCGAAAGUAAGACUAAUACCCAAUGACAUCCCACGAAGACAUCUGAAUGGGAUUAAAGAUUUAUCGGUGACGGAUGGGGAUGCGUCUGAUUAGCUUGUUGGCUGGGUAACGGCCCACCAAGGCAACGAUCAGUAGGGGUUCUGAGAGGAAGGUCCCCCACAUUGGAACUGAGACGCGGUCCAAACUCCUACGGGAGGCAGCAGUGAGGAAUAUUGGUCAAUGGGCGAGAGACUGAACCAGCCAAGUAGCGUGCAGGAUGACGGCCCUAUGGGUUGUAAACUGCUUUUAUAAGGGAAUAAAGUGGGUCUCGUGAGACUUUUUGCAUGUACCUUAUGAAUAAGGACCGGCUAAUUCCGUG